This 73-nucleotide transfer RNA is filed under the name Deltaproteobacteria bacterium. RNAcentral describes it as "tRNA-Lys". It matches the Rfam family "tRNA". From Rfam's summary of the family: Transfer RNA (tRNA) molecules are approximately 80 nucleotides in length. The record is from RNAcentral. Lineage: Bacteria; Pseudomonadati; Myxococcota; Myxococcia.
GGGCCGCUAGCUCAGUUGGUAGAGCAGCUGACUCUUAAUCAGUUGGUCCGGGGUUCGAAUCCCUGGCGGCCCA